This 462-nucleotide long non-coding RNA is filed under the name Nicotiana benthamiana. RNAcentral's name for it is "long non-coding RNA (NBEN_LNC040613)". Lineage: Eukaryota; Viridiplantae; Streptophyta; Magnoliopsida; Solanales; Solanaceae. The record is from RNAcentral.
AUAAAACUCAGAAAAACUCAAAAAUAGCUGAAAAUUUGAGAAAAUAUUAUUCCAGUGAAAUUUCUGCUUCGAAUUUUUAAGUUUUUCAUUACUGAACUAUAUCUGAUUCUAUUUGAGGCUGAAAAUGGAUAGACUUGGGUAGUGAAAGAUCUGGUUUAAGUUGGUUGAGUGGUUUCCUUCUUCUUGAUUGAUUCACGGCUUUUAUUGGUUGAAUCUGGGUGGAUUUCUGUUAUUGUUGACUGUUGACUUUCCAUCUCUACUGUCCCUCUUUUAUCUCCGAGUAUUCCUUGGAUCUUUCAAUUUGUGAAGUGCAAAUGAGAAUCUUUGUGGAUGAUGUGUAAUGAAAGAUAUUAUAGGUGUCAAUAAUAACAAUUCACUUGUCAUUUUAUUGCCAUUUCAGCUUUCUUUGGAUGUGGUCAUUUGUUUAGUUAUGAUCCUGUUUGGUUUUAAUUUGUAAACCUG